Molecule: long non-coding RNA, 7519 nt
Filed under: Gallus gallus (chicken)
Lineage: Eukaryota; Metazoa; Chordata; Aves; Galliformes; Phasianidae
Description: lncRNA (ENSGALG00010028620.1)
Source: RNAcentral
GAAACAUCUUUACCAGCACAGGAACUACAGCUUUGUAAUUGGCCUGGUGCAAGAACAUGACAGGGUUUUCUCAUCCUAUCAGGACUCGGAUAUUUUGGGAGCUGGUAUAUAAGGCGCACAGCACACAGUGUCUCUUGGACAUUAGGAACAGGUUCAUGUGAGAAAUCAGUGUGCUUUGCUAUUUUAGUGGUUGCUAUAGUUGCAGCAUGAAUGAUUUUUUUCUGGCCUGCCGCAAUUCGGGGCGAUGUUUUCUUAUAGUUCAUAUGUAUAUUUUUAUUAUUUGAGCGCAGAUGGACGUACUUAAAGUAAUUAACAUGGUGAUGCAAGUCUUGUAAAGAAGCCUUUAGCAAAUAAGCAGCAAAGCCCUAAAUCACAUAAAUGGAGGCCUCGUUGAGCUUUCGUUAAGCGCUCAGACUUCAAUGGCAUGGGACUGAGCUCCAUCCAAGCCCAUUUCAGGUUUCUCCAGAUGAUAAAAGCGCUCCGUUUGGUCUCUGAAAUAAGAAGCGCUCGUUGUGCUGAACGAUCUGUGUUGGAAGGAAUGGCCCUCAUGGCAAAGAGUCCAAUAACUCUCCAACGGGUGUGAGAUCCGAGUCAGCAGCACUUAAUGGAGCUGUGAAGAGCUGAGCGGGAAGGCGGCCAAUAGUGCAAUUAAUAUUCUGUACAGAGUUGCACCACUCUGAUGACAGCAAACCUCGUUUGGAGCACAUGACAAAGCUGCAGUGUUUUUUCCAUAGCUGCCAUCAGUGUUUGGAUCCAAAGUAACCGUAACCACUAAAAAUGAGGAAUGACAGCAAACCCAACACCAGCAACUGCAGCCUGAAGUGCAUCCUGGGAAGCACAUAAUGUAAGAGUCUGAUAUACAGCAAACACUUUGGUAGGGAUGGGUGAAGAAAUCACUUUGUUCUUGAGAAGACUGACAGAGGGUGAGGAAAGUCAGUUGGUAUUUUGCUUUCCUUCUUCAGCACUGCUUUCAGCUCUGCAGCUCUCCGUCACACCGCCCCCAUGGGCACCAGCAGUGCCCCGUGCCGUCCUCCCAUCACAGGGAGCUGCCAUGCUCCGAUGGCUCAAAGCUUCCAUCCCCAGACUUAUCUCCGUGUGUGAUGUCAAAACCCAAAAAUAUGGAGGGCUGAUGACAACAGGAGUUAUUUCUGCAGGUCUGACACACAGCGGGGAUGGAUGGUGUGAGGGCUCUGUUUUCCUGUCUUGCUCACUCUUGCAACAUGCUGGCAGAGAUGGUAGGAAGGAGGGAAUGUUUUGGUCCUUUCUGAAGUAACUGAGCUCUGCUGUGAUGAAGCAGCUCUCUUUUUGCCAAGCACUGCUUUGUGAUGGUAUGGCCAGAGGGAUCAAGAAUGAUAAAGUGAUUUUUUUUUUUUUUGUAUCAAACAUAAGAUCUUUUUCUUUUUUGGAUGGAGGGAAGGAACAAGAAUGCAGCAGCAAAAAGCAGCAGCUGCAAUGGCUGGAGGAUAUAGCCAGCCAAAAUCGAGCUAGAAGAGUUUGUUUCCAGCACAGUGUGUGUGUCCAUGUGCACGUGCUGCUGCUGACAGAGCUGAUGUGGAGGAGCUCAGAGCUCCUGCAUGGAGCUGGGGCAGAUGCAGCCCUGGAGCUCUGCCACAGCACGAAGACAGCUCCAAGCAGUGAGUUGUGAGCAACGUUGCACUGCAAAUAACCGUACCAGUCCCCGUACCUCCAAAACUUCAGAGUAAUCCUUCCUAGAAGGUUUUUCCCUCGCUGAGCUCAUCAAAGCUCUGCUCUCGCAAGAACCGCACACCUCCACGCUCAGCGGGGCUUCCUGCAGCGCCCCGGGACGUCCCCGGGCUGCCAACGUGGGCAGGAGUGCACACGGGGAACUCUCACUGGUGUUUCCUGUGCUGAUCCUGGUGAGAACAGCAGCCAUACGAGGACGUGGAGGCCCAGGCCAUGCCCCACCCUGCCCUCCUGGGCAGCUGGUACCAGGAAGGUGCUGCUUCCUCCUGCUCCAUCCACAUAAACACAUCACAGUUGGGAAUUCCAGCUCUGUUUCGGGCUGAGUACCAGCUCUCUCUCCCUUUGCCCCUCCAGGACACUGGUAACUUGCCCUCGGCCGUAUGGGAGGUUCAACAUCUCAUCAGCCACAAGGUGACAGCCUCCAGUCCAGAGCCAUUAAAAGCUUCCUCAGCAGAAGAAAGGUUCUGAGCCCAAUGCUGUGGCUCUGGGGCCCACUCAGGAAUCAGCAGGCAUUGGUCACAACAGCCACCCACCAGGACAUGGAGGACACUGCAGUGAUGUGAGCUUAUUUGCAGAGCUGGUUUCUGCACCACAUGCAGCCCUACAAAGCAGAGCCUGAAGGACUCAGGACAAACCCAACCACAAUUGAGGAAUGGGGCAUGGCCAAGCAAAGGGUGGCUUUUGGUGGAACACUGCAAACCUGGCUGCAGUAAUGCAGGGACCGGUUGGUAUCAGUGCUUCCUACGAAGGCAGCGUGUGGACCAUGGCUGUGCUGUGCUCAGCGGGAGGGCGAGGCGUCCUAUUUCGGGUGAGCAAACCAAGCCUUCUGCAGGGCUCUGGGAGGCUGCAGAGCGCUGUGCAUGAAGCACCUCGGUGCAGGGAGGAGGCUGGGGCUGCGAUUCUUCACCUCUUUUUCUUGGGAGGCAGGAGGGGCACAGCUCCUUCACUGCUUUUAGAGUGGUCUACAGCAAGGGAAGACCAUCAGUGCAAUACACUGGAAAAGCUCCAAAGAGAAAUGCAGAGAGGAAUGAUUGCCAUUUGUGUGGGUGAAAGUGAAAAGGAUGAAGAAGCCUUUGGUGCACACUGGGAGUGAACUGUCUUCUUGUUUUUCUGAUACUCUUGAAAAGAAACAAGCAGCUGCUCUUUAUUUUCUCCAUCAGCCAGCACCAGGGCCUCAGCAGGGCUCGGCUGUUGGGCUGCAUGAAGCUGGACAGCCCCGUGUCCCUGAGCCAUCAGUGGCACCGCUCGGACACAGCAGUGGGACAAAAAAACCCCAUCAGUGGAGAGAGCAGCUGAGACAGGCAUUUAUCCUCCAUGUGCACUGGGCCAAGGCUGAGCACGGUGCUAAGGACAAAUGGACCUCUUCUCUCAUUCUGUAGAGAUCUGCAGCCUUACAGUCCUCAUAGAAAUACCUUUGGGCAAACCAGAUUAUUUUGACUUUGGACAACAUCAUUCAUGAAACUCUGCACCACAAGCUUGGUCUGAAGGAAACCACACACGAUUUGACUCCUUUAUCUUGUAUCAGCGGCGGAGAGCUCGAUGCGGUUACAGUUCUCCUCAUUUCUGAGAAGAGAGGAUCAUAUUUAAUCAUUGUGUCAGUUGGCACAAACACCAUGUUUGUAGUGAAAUGCUAAAAAACAGCGCAUUUAUCUUUCCCUCGAUCAAGAUUCAUACGAUAGGAGCUCUUAACGUUUAAACUCAUCAGUCAUGAAACUCUGUAGGGCUCAGCUUCCCUGCUUGUUUACUGUAACUUAUCCUAAAGAAUGAGCUGACCUCUCUUGCCUAAUAUAACAAAUACAGUAUCAGUAAUAUCCACCCAAGGGCAUUUGUUCCCUGGCAGACUCCUGCUUUGGCUCUAAGAUAUUAUUCCUGGACCUUUUUAUUUUUUUGCAGUGGGAUGUCAGCUAUUUUGCUUCACUGAGCAGCACAUUUCAAAACACAAAGUGCCUGCAGGGGUUGCCUCAUCGCAUGUCCUUAUCAGCUGCAGAAACAGAGGAGCCAAGAGCAACUUGGAGGCAGAGAGAUGCUGAACUCAAGGAGUGCUGAAGUUCCUUCUCAGACCCAAAUGAGGAGCCCGGAGGAUUUCAGCCACUGCUUCCUGCAGCGAUCCCAUUGUGUCCACUUGCAGCAUGCAAAUCUCAGAGAGCUGCUGUUCCUUACAGUGCUAUUACAUCACCCACCUCUCCAACAGCCCUCAUACUGACCCACUCUGAUCCAUGUUAUUUUAUGGGCACUGGCUUGUGCUGUGGUGUCCAGAAGUCCCAAACCUCCCCUGUGCAUCAAAGUGAAUGAACACCACAGAGAAAAGGCAGCCCUUGACCUAAAAAGUGCUCACUUUUCACUCACCUCUAAAUCUAUCUGGGCUUUAAUUUCUUCUUUUUCACCGGUUUCAGUACAAAACCCACCAUGCUCAGACAUGGCAGUGGCAGCAGAGGCUCAAGGAGGCAAUAGGCACAGCCACCAGCGAGAUGAGGCGUGCUCUGUGUGUUCUCAGACAGCAGCUUCAAAUGUGACGAUGUCUGAGAACGGCACUGCUACAGAAAAGGCUCCCUGUGCUCUCAGGGACCACCAGGAGGAGAUGGCAGCACCUGAUCCCACUGCCUGAGACCCAGCAUCGAAAAUGAGCACUGCUACGACCUCUUGGUUGGUGCUGUGUCAGCUCAGACCCCGCAUCGGGCACCGAAUGGCAGCCCGUGGGAGCGUUGCUUUCGUAGAGGUUGGAGUUUCAGUGGUUUCUAACGACUUGUUCGGUUGAUACCAAAGUGUGGAGGAGUUAAAAAGUCAGCUGUGAUCUUGGCAAACCCAACCAAACAGGCCGAGGAAGUGCCAGUUCACAGAGCAGAGCACAGCCCAUGCCAUGCCCCGAGGAUGACUCUUCACACCCCUGUUGCUAAGUUAAGGGUCUGAGAGUGUAUUUUUUUUUUCCUCCUUAAAGUCAUAGAAUCACAGAAUGGCUGGGUUGGAAAGGACCUUACAGACCAUCCUGUUCCAACCUCCCUUUAGACCAGGCUGCCCAAAGCCCCAUCCACGGCCUUGAGCACCUCCAGGAAUGGGGCACCCACAGCUCUCUGGGAAGCCUGUGCCAAUGUAAUGGCAUAAUGAAAAUACAGAAAAACGUUUAAUUCCAAGAGAAGGAUAAUACAGGGAAGUAGCUGCUUUUGCAGACAUCUCUAUGGAGUCAAGAGUCCUACUGAAGCUUUCCACCAAUCUCUCAAAUAAAACCCUCAUUUUUAUCUGUACAUUUCUCUGUCUCCAGAGGCUGCCUUCUCUCCUGUCCUAGUUUACCUAAGAAGUGAACUGAAUGUCCAGUUAGAAUAAAUGAAGAACUAAUGUUCAUUCGCUUGAUUUAAUACUUUGGUACUACCUUGACUGGACCCAGCUACAAACUGUGAAGGCAUCAUGAAGCAUUAACAAUACUUCAUUUCAGUCAUUACCACAUUGAAGUAUUCUGAGCAUCUCAGAAAGGCAUCUUUGGACAUGGUAUGAUGGGCGAACGAGCAUCUACAAAGAUCUGGGAUACAUCUUCUCCAUGAAAUGCCAUUUCUAUGCCACAGUUCCCAGGUUGGGAACCCAGAAAAAGGGCAGAUUGAGUAUACAUUAGUGAAAAAGAAAGAAACAAAGAAAACCAAAACAAGAGCUGGGGUGAGAGAGGUGGGGACCUUCGUCUCUUGAAGAUUCUUCUGCAGAUGGCUUCAGUUUCAAAAUCACUGAUGUCCUUUACUACUGUCCACAGCCCCUUGAGGUUUACUGAUGUGCUGUUAAGCUGCUGAAGCUAAAAGCAGCACUCUGUACAGAUGCAGCCACAGUUACGGCUUUGAAAUGAGCGAACAGAGCAACAACAAAGAACAGGAGCUCUGGGCUCUGAAACACUGCUCAGAGCACGAAGGCAGUGAAAAAUAAUGCUUUGUUAACUUCUUGUUUAGGAAAAAAGCAGAACACUUCCUCUAAUGACACAUUCACUGACAGUGGUGCUUUGAUGACUCCUUCACACUGGUGAAUCAUGGAUCUAAGUGCAGGGACAAACUGUUCCUGUCCAAAGGCCGCCAGCCUGGUGGUUCUCUGCCACCCAACAGAAAGUGCUGCUCUUCCUCCUGCUUCCUAACACACCAUCGCCAUCAGAAAUCCAGCUGAGCCAACACUGGCAGCUCUGAUCAGCCCAUGGUCACUGCAACGCCGAGCUGUCCCAGGAGCUCGCCAGGCUUCCUUUCACCGCGCUCCUCCUGAGGCAGCUCAUACGGUUGGACAUUUCCCUUUGCAGGCAGCUGUUCUUUCCAAAUUCCUUACAUUUUAGAUUAUAUAUCCUCAAUUUUGAUCUUUUGCUUUAAAAACACUUUCAUUUGAAGCUUAAUAGCAAAGGCUCAGUGCAUCUGCCAGAGUUCCUGGCACAGCCAGUGUCCUGCAGGAGCAAUUACUUUCCAGUGAGUCUCUAGAAUUGCUUAUUUACUUUCACUCGUAUGCCAAAAAUACUUUAAAAUCAGGACAGUUUUUUCCAGUUACACAAUCACCAGAAAUAUCUUGAAUCCAUACGCUUCCACUGUGGUUCAAUAGUUAAUCUGAAAGCAGUCAAAACAAUUCAUACGGUAUGCAAAGAUCGCCCUGUCUCAGGAUGAAGGCUUCAGAAGCACAGCUCUGUGUGCUCACGUCAACGAAGGCCACAAAGCCAAAUCAGUUCCCACCCCAUUAUAACCACACAGGGAAAAGCAACUGCAAAGCACCUUCCUGAGCAGCACCAUCACAGCCACUCACUUCUACAGAGCCCUUCUUGUCUAUCCAUGUUGACUUUAUUUACUAUUCUUGACAAAACAACACAACAUUGGACUUCUGACAAGCCAUGAGAUUUAGGAUACCAAUCCAUGGGAGCUUUUCAAUAAAUUAUAGUUAAUUAAGAUUGUUGGUGAGCGACAGUGGCUGCUCCUACUCCUUUUGAUUCACCAAAAGCACCGGUAAAACGCAGUUUUUGGCUCCCCUGGUUUAAAAAUCAGAGCCUCUCCCCUCCCUGCCCCAGGGGCACAGGUAAGGAAGCACACAACACCCACAACACCAACUUCUGAAGCAUCUCCUCAAAGCACUCUUUGCAAAUUGAGGCGCCAUUCGUUCUCCUUACUCAUGCAUAUUUUAAAUUCCCUUUUAAGUUUCAACGGUUUGCAUGGGUGUAAUUCGGAGCAGACUGGGGCCUUACAUAUUUUGCAUACCAACUAGUUAUGUGAACCCAAUUUCUGAAAAAGAGAUUAUAUGAGCAUUAUGAUGCAGCUGAGGAGUAACCACUGGAAAAAAAAGUACAAGAAAGCCAGAAGGAUUUGCUUUUUAAUUUUAAGCGCAUGUUCACAAAUGAAAGUGAGAAUUGUGCCCAUCAACAACGGCCGGAACAGAAUCAGCCCUUCUCCAAACCUACCGAGGAACCAUCGUCUUAAUGUGUAGGUUUAAGUUACUGGCACUUUCUGCUUUACGGAUAUAUAUGGCAUCUAGACUUUAAACGAUAUUGCAAAAGUAGAAAUAGCACGAUAAACCUUCAAAGCUGAAAUAAAAAAGAACCUGUGUUUUAACUUAGCGCUGAGUAUUUAUACAGCCGGCACCAUUUAGUCCGGCAUGUUUGAGCGAGCGCAAGUCUGUGGUUGCAGCUCUGUGUAAAAAUAUUGCAGCCUGCUCCUGCUUUAGGAGCUAAACUUCAGUUCCCAAUAGCUCCCUCUGUAAUUCUCUUUCCAAAUAAAAGGAAGAGCUAUUCCUGGCUCGUAACGGUGUAUUUCUGUGGCUUCUUGAACUAUAAUGAAGGCAGUCUGGAAUGUUAAAAAUUACAUGCUCAAUGCCAAUUCUUAAC